CGCGGUGCACGGACAAAUAACGGGAACAACGUUUUAUACGACUGUUACACGCUCCAUUCUUCCAUGCCAUUCACUUUUUACCACAACCUUGCAAAUCUGGGUUUUGUUUCAAGCGCCGAAAGAAAACGUCGAGCACGCAACAACGCGCACGUGCAAGAGCGCGAUCGGAAAGGAAGGCGUAUCUCCAGCGGCGUUCAGAAAAACGAUGUUUCUCACUUGAUUGCCAAGCCUUGCGCUUUAGUCAUUAGUGCAAUACCUCAAAGCAGCAACACGUUUCUUCCCCCUUCUGGAUGUGCCCCUCUAGGAUUCCAAAAAUCUGCAGCGCUCUGAGGCCCAGUGCAUCCAUGGAAACUCUCCAUAAAACACCUGUCAGACCUGCUCCAGUUCAAACACCUGCUGCAGGAAUCGCAGUUUACCAUCGGGGUUCCAACAGAGCGCCUGGGAAUAUCAGACAACUGGUCUGUCUAGUCAGUGCAGUCGAUGCAGAGAUGGGACUGCAGCCGUGAGAGAGGGAAACUCAGCAAAGACGAGCAAUUAGGCCUGUGGCAGAAGUCCAGCCACCCCAUGCCUCAGUGUGCGGAUGUGUUUGAGCCAACGACUGGCUAAAGUUCCUGUAGUGUGUGGAUAGGUUGAAAGACUAAAUGGACUCAAAGGCAAGCACGUCUUCUCAAGAACUCAGAGGUGGUUUUUGUAGCCGGUGCUUUGAUGUGUCUCUUUGUGUGUACCUUUGCCCUCCUUUUGAUUGUUCCCUCUCUGCUUUCCUGGAUGUAAACACCUACACAAGCUGAUGUGUCACAUUAGUUUCAAACAAAAACAAGUAAAAAACCUUUUGGUAAAGGCUGGUGGCUCAUCUUCUAGGACCCUGAAGAAAGUCUUCACAUGCUUACAUUCAACCGAUUUAUCGUACUUUUGAUGCUACAUGUAAAUACUCGCUGUUAUUGAUCUUUUUUUUUUUUUUCAGGUAGUUUUCCUUUAUGUAGCUUUUCCUGGGGUAUAUAGGGCUCUGCUCACCAUCAUCAAAGUUCGAUAGCAGCAAGGUUUAGGAGCCAGUUUGGCAGCCUGUCUCCAGCACCAGCCUAACUGGAAAAUGAGUAAGAUUAUGUUUCAAGAUACUUUUUUUUUCUCAUGCCUGCACGUCUCCCUUGCUUGCUCAUAGGCAUUGCUAGGCCAUAUUUACUGUAGGAGGACAUCUUUCAUCUCAGACCCUCUAAAAAAGUUGAUUUUACUCUGAUGUCAGCACUUUUUAAAAUCAGUGAUUAUGCAAUCUUAAUGUUUACUGAGAACAGCUACUGCAGAAAGCUAUCUGAGGUUAUUUCACUCAGAAUCCUCUCCUUAUCAGAUGUUUGAAACAUCCCUGUAGUUUCUGGCGGACAUGGUCUAAAGGUGACGUAAGGUGGCAAUGCUUAAAGCUGUCACAGGUGUCUCUUGCUUGAAUUCUUGUUGCAUUGAAAUCCGAAAAAAAUUAGUAAUUUGUGUUCAAAGGGAAUUUAGUACAAUGGCAGUAUAAGUGUCAUGAUUCUGGUCCACAAAUUUCCACAAACUUACCACCAGAUAUCAUUUCCUCACCAAAGUGAUUCUUGCACCACACUAUUUGUAUUUCACUCUGGACUUCAGUUCCCAUCAUCCAUAGCACUGAUGACACACACAUACCUGAUUGCACUCAUCUCACGCUCACCUGCAUUCAAUGAUGCACAAACUGUAAAUAACAGUUUCUCUCUCCGCUCCACGGUGAGUAUUGAUCUGCAUUUAGCACUCUCCUAGUGUUAGCUGCCUUGCUGUGCCAUUGUUUUUUUUUUGUUGUUGUUUUUUUAGUCUCCUGUAUUGUCUAGCAUGUAUCGCUCUCCCACUGAUAGCUACAUUAUGAAGCCCUUCCGUUUUACCUCAGUUAAAUUUAAAGUCUAGUUUAGUUCCUCUCCUGGAUUAUCUGUUUUUGAUUAUUUGCCUGUGCGUUUCGGAUUAACCCUUGCUGUUCUGACUCUGUCUGCUCCUUGUUUGAAUUCACUGCUCCUGUUAACAGAUUACCCCUCUUGUCAAGCCCUCUGAAUAUUGUACGCUGAUCGAAGACUCACACAUAUGCCCUAAGAAUACUCUUGUGUCUCGUCCAUGCCAUACCAGUGUUUGACCCUGCCAGUGU
This is a long non-coding RNA of Puntigrus tetrazona (Sumatra barb), 2134 nucleotides long. RefSeq lists it as uncharacterized. The record is from RefSeq and is a predicted model, not a curated record. Lineage: Eukaryota; Metazoa; Chordata; Actinopteri; Cypriniformes; Cyprinidae. The transcript has 4 exons.